RNAcentral lists this ribosomal RNA (906 nucleotides) under Polycephalomyces sp. 2 RMK-2013. RNAcentral describes it as "SSU rRNA". It matches the Rfam family "Eukaryotic small subunit ribosomal RNA", at positions 195 to 1109 of the family's 1831-position model. The record is from RNAcentral. Lineage: Eukaryota; Fungi; Ascomycota; Sordariomycetes; Hypocreales; Polycephalomycetaceae.
GAAGGGAUGUAUUUAUUAGAUACAAAACCAAUGCCCUAUGGGCUCUCUGGUGAUUCAUGAUAACUUCUCGAAUCGCACGGCCUCGCGCCGGCGAUGGUUCAUUCAAAUUUCUUCCCUAUCAACUUUCGAUGUUUGGGUAGUGGCCAAACAUGGUUGCAACGGGUAACGGAGGGUUAGGGCUCGACCCCGGAGAAGGAGCCUGAGAAACGGCUACUACAUCCAAGGAAGGCAGCAGGCGCGCAAAUUACCCAAUCCCGACACGGGGAGGUAGUGACAAUAAAUACUGAUACAGGGCUCUUUCGGGUCUUGUAAUUGGAAUGAGUACAAUUUAAAUCCCUUAACGAGGAACAAUUGGAGGGCAAGUCUGGUGCCAGCAGCCGCGGUAAUUCCAGCUCCAAUAGCGUAUAUUAAAGUUGUUGUGGUUAAAAAGCUCGUAGUUGAACCUUGGGCCUGGCUGGCCGGUCCGCCUCACCGCGUGUACUGGUCCGGCCGGGCCUUUCCCUCUGUGGAACCCCAUGCCCUUCACUGGGCGUGGCGGGGAAACAGGACUUUUACUUUGAAAAAAUUAGAGUGCUCCAGGCAGGCCUAUGCUCGAAUACAUUAGCAUGGAAUAAUGAAAUAGGACGUGCGGUUCUAUUUUGUUGGUUUCUAGGACCGCCGUAAUGAUUAAUAGGGACAGUCGGGGGCAUCAGUAUUCAAUUGUCAGAGGUGAAAUUCUUGGAUUUAUUGAAGACUAACUACUGCGAAAGCAUUUGCCAAGGAUGUUUUCAUUAAUCAGGAACGAAAGUUAGGGGAUCGAAGACGAUCAGAUACCGUCGUAGUCUUAACCAUAAACUAUGCCGACUAGGGAUCGGACGAUGUUAUUUUUUGACUCGUUCGGCACCUUACGAGAAAUCAAAGUGCUUG